RNAcentral lists this ribosomal RNA (820 nucleotides) under uncultured bacterium. RNAcentral's name for it is "bacterial SSU rRNA". It matches the Rfam family "Bacterial small subunit ribosomal RNA", at positions 627 to 1447 of the family's 1533-position model. The record is from RNAcentral.
UGGAAACUNUCUGACUUGAGUGCAGAAGAGGAGAGUGGAAUUCCAUGUGUAGCGGUGAAAUGCGUAGAUAUAUGGAGGAACACCAGUGGCGAAAGCGGCUCUCUGGUCUGUCACUGACGCUGAGGCUCGAAAGCGUGGGUAGCGAACAGGAUUAGAUACCCUGGUAGUCCACNCCGUAAACGAUGAGUGCUAGGUGUUAGGCCCUUUCCGGGGCUUAGUGCCGGAGCUAACGCAAUAAGCACUCCGCCUGGGGAGUACGACCGCAAGGUUGAAACUCAAAGGAAUUGACGGGGGCCCGCACAAGCGGUGGAGCAUGUGGUUUAAUUCGAAGCAACGCGAAGAACCUUACCAGGUCUUGACACCCCGAUGCUAUUCUUAGAGAUAGGAAGUUACUUCGGUACAUCGGAGACAGGUGGUGCAUGGUUGUCGUCAGCUCGUGUCGUGAGAUGUUGGGUUAAGUCCCGCAACGAGCGCAACCCUUAUUGUUAGUUGCCAUCAUUAAGUUGGGCACUCUAGCGAGACUGCCGGUAAUAAACCGGAGGAAGGUGGGGAUGACGUCAAAUCAUCAUGCCCCUUAUGACCUGGGCUACACACGUGCUACAAUGGUCGGUACAACGAGUUGCGAGCCGGUGACGGCAAGCUAAUCUCUGAAGCCGAUCUCAGUUCGGAUUGGAGGCUGCAACUCGCCUCCAUGAAGUCGGAAUCGCUAGUAAUCGCGGAUCAGCACGCCGCGGUGAAUACGUUCCCGGGCCUUGUACACACCGCCCGUCACACCACGAGAGUUUGUAACACCCGAAGUCGGUGAGGUANCCUUUUAGGG